GAGUUUGAUCUUGGCUCAGGAUGAACGCUAGCGGCAGGCCUAAUACAUGCAAGUCGAGGGGCAGCGCGGGUAGCAAUACCUGGCGGCGACCGGCGCACGGGUGCGUAACACGUAUACAAUCUGCCUUUAACAGGGGGAUAGCCCGGAGAAAUCCGGAUUAAUACCCCAUAAUAUAUUGAGUGGCAUCACUUGAUAUUGAAAGCUCCGGCGGUUAGAGAUGAGUAUGCGCCUGAUUAGUUAGUUGGUGAGGUAACGGCUCACCAAGACUUCGAUCAGUAGGGGAUCUGAGAGGACUACCCCCCACACGGAUACUGAGACACGGAUCCGACUCCUACGGGAGGCAGCAGUAAGGAAUACUGGACAAUGCCCGCAAGGUGAUCCAGCCAUGCCGCGUGCAGGAAGACGGCCCUAUGGGUUGUAAACUGCUUUUACUACCGGAGAAAAACCCCUCGUACGUGUACGGGGCUGAUAGUAUGGUGAGAAUAAGCAUCGGCUAACUUCGUGCCAGCC
This 510-nucleotide ribosomal RNA is filed under the name uncultured Flavobacterium sp. Its description in RNAcentral is "bacterial SSU rRNA". It matches the Rfam family "Bacterial small subunit ribosomal RNA", at positions 9 to 513 of the family's 1533-position model. The record is from RNAcentral. Lineage: Bacteria; Pseudomonadati; Bacteroidota; Flavobacteriia; Flavobacteriales; Flavobacteriaceae.